RNAcentral lists this ribosomal RNA (118 nucleotides) under Streptococcus suis SC070731. Lineage: Bacteria; Bacillati; Bacillota; Bacilli; Lactobacillales; Streptococcaceae. The record is from RNAcentral.
GUUAAGUGACGAUAGCCUAGGAGAUACACCUGUACCCAUGCCGAACACAGCAGUUAAGCCCUAGAACGCCUGAAGUAGUUGGGGGUUGCCCCCUGUUAGAUACGGUAGUCGCUUAGCA